Molecule: unclassified non-coding RNA, 281 nt
Filed under: uncultured fungus
Lineage: Eukaryota; Fungi
Description: partial contains 5.8S ribosomal RNA, internal transcribed spacer 2, and large subunit ribosomal RNA
Rfam family: 5.8S ribosomal RNA (bases 1-52)
Source: RNAcentral
AACGCACAUUGCGCCCUUUGGUAUUCCGAAGGGCAUGCCUGUUCGAGCGUCAUUAUCACCCCUCAAGCCCUUGGGCUUGGUGUUGGACGGUUUGGUGGAGGCCCUCGGGCGUGCCACCCCUCCUAAAGACAAUGACGGCGGCCUGUUGGAACCCCCGGUACAUUGAGCUUCUUAACUGAGCACGUAUCGGAUCCAGGGAACCCAGGACCCGGUCUUCUCCCUUCUCGGGAAUUUUUCUUAAGGUUGACCUCGGAUCAGGUAGGAAUACCCGCUGAACUUAA